Molecule: long non-coding RNA, 791 nt
Organism: Diabrotica virgifera virgifera (western corn rootworm)
Lineage: Eukaryota; Metazoa; Arthropoda; Insecta; Coleoptera; Chrysomelidae
Exons: 2
Source: RefSeq, a predicted model, not a curated record
GUAUAGGAGGAAUCAGUAAGCUCACUCCCCGAAAAAUACAUUGUUUUCGAUGUUCCAAUUUGGUGAAUGUGCGCGAAGUCGACCAAAAUUCAGUUUCACGUGCGCAUCCGAUGACAGUGAAUACGUUUGCUGAUUGGUCGUGACCGCCAUCUGAUUUUCAUGAAUUUUGUGAGGUUGUGUUUGGGAAUUGUUGUUUUGGUUAAUUUACUAAUUUAUUUUCAUAUUAAUAAUCGGUAGUUAUGUGCUAUGAAUGUGAUAUUAUUUUCUUAAAUCAGUAAAAUGGAAAUAAAGCAAGCAGAAAACUAUUUUUACAAAGAAGAAUGUAAAAUUAAAAUCCAAAAUACUAACAACCCCUGUGAUGCUGUAAUCAUGUUCCUAUUCUGUUAAAACCGAGAUAAAGAGUCUUUAAGACUGAUAAAAAUAGUUAUUUCUAUGAUGGAAAUUCUUUGGACCAAAUAAAUAGAGAAGUUAUUAUUGAAGACAUCAAAAUAAAAGAAGUAAUGCAUGUGGAAAAUGAUUUUCUUCAUAUUAAUAAAAGAAGAACUGAAGUUAUUAUGAAACCAGUGUCCGGACGGUGUAUUUUACCGACUUAAAGCAAGAGUACCUUUUAAUACUCGAAUUUGUCACAUUUUUUAAUUUCAUAAUUUUAUUUAUGUAAGUUGUGAUUGUGAAAAUAUUGUUAAGUUGUAUUCAUAGUUCACUACUUGUUCUUUUGAAAUACUAUUUUUAUUAUAAUUGGUAUUGUAAAGUUGAAAUCCUCAAAUCAAAAUAUAAUUUAUAAUUCGAAUGUA